AAACCAACAGGGAUUGCCCUAGUAACGGCGAGUGAAGCGGCAACAGCUCAAAUUUGAAAUCUGGCCCUAGCGGUCCGAGUUGUAAUUUGUAGAGGAUGCUUUUGGUGAGGUGCCUUCCGAGUUCCCUGGAACGGGACGCCGGAGAGGGUGAGAGCCCCGUACGGUUGGACGCCAAACCUCUGUAUAGCUCCUUCGACGAGUCGAGUAGUUUGGGAAUGCUGCUCUAAAUGGGAGGUAAAUUUCUUCUAAAGCUAAAUACCGGCCAGAGACCGAUAGCGCACAAGUAGAGUGAUCGAAAGAUGAAAAGCACUUUGAAAAGAGGGUUAAAUAGCACGUGAAAUUGUUGAAAGGGAAGCGUUUGCGACCAGACCUUUUCCAGGCGGAUCAUCCGGCGUUCUCGCCGGUGCACUCCGCCUGGUUGAGGCCAGCAUCGGUUUCCUUAGGGGGAUAAAGGCCUGGGGAACGUAGCUCCUUCGGGAGUGUUAUAGCCCCUGGCGCAAUACCCCUCGGGGGACCGAGGACCGCGCUUCGGCAAGGAUGCUGGCGUAAUGGUCGUCAACGAC
Molecule: ribosomal RNA, 563 nt
Filed under: Daldinia bambusicola
Lineage: Eukaryota; Fungi; Ascomycota; Sordariomycetes; Xylariales; Hypoxylaceae
Description: eukaryotic LSU rRNA
Rfam family: Eukaryotic large subunit ribosomal RNA
Source: RNAcentral